This 511-nucleotide ribosomal RNA is filed under the name uncultured bacterium. Its description in RNAcentral is "partial 16S ribosomal RNA". The record is from RNAcentral.
CACGUAGUUAGCCGGGGCUUCUUCUGGCGGUACCGUCACCCUCUGGGCUAUUAACCCGAGUGGCUUCGUCCCACCUGAAAGAGGUUUACAACCCUAAGGCCUUCUUCCCCCACGCGGCGUCGCUGCGUCAGGCUUUCGCCCAUUGCGCAAGAUUCCCCACUGCUGCCUCCCGUAGGAGUCUGGGCCGUGUCUCAGUCCCAGUGUGGCUGAUCGUCCUCUCAGACCAGCUAUGGAUCGUCGCCUUGGUGGGCCAUUACCCCGCCAACAAGCUAAUCCACGCGGGCUCAUCCUCGAUCGGAGGCCGAAGCUACCUUUUCUUCGUGCCCGAGAGCUCGAAAGGCUAUCCGGUAUUAAUCCGGGUUUCCCGGGCUAUCCCAGAAUCGAGGGCAGAUUACCCACGUGUUACUCACCCGUUCGCCGCUGUCCCCGGGACCGAAGUCCCGGUUCUCGCUCGACUUGCAUGUGUUAGCGCGCCGCCAGCGUUCGUCCUGACGCCAGGAUCGAAACUCUA